UGAUCGACAUAGGAGCCGAAUCGGUGGU
This 28-nucleotide small RNA is filed under the name Bombyx mori (domestic silkworm). RNAcentral's name for it is "ovarian small RNA-2206". The record is from RNAcentral. Lineage: Eukaryota; Metazoa; Arthropoda; Insecta; Lepidoptera; Bombycidae.